AGUGAACGCUGGCGGUAGGCCUAACACAUGCAAGUCGAACGGCAGCACAGUAAGAGCUUGCUCUUACGGGUGGCGAGUGGCGGACGGGUGAGGAAUACAUCGGAAUCUACUUUUUCGUGGGGGAUAACGCAGGGAAACUUACGCUAAUACCGCAUACGACCUACGGGUGAAAGCAGGGGAUCUUCGGACCUUGCGCGAUUGAAUGAGCCGAUGUCGGAUUAGCUAGUUGGCGGGGUAAAGGCCCACCAAGGCGACGAUCCGUAGCUGGUCUGAGAGGAUGGACAACCCAACUGGGACUGGAGAAAGGGCCAAGCUUCUAAGGGGAGGAGGAAUGGGGGAUUUUUGGCAAAGGGGGGCAAGCUGGACCAGGCAAUACCGGUGGGGUGAAGAAGGCCUUCGGGUUGUAAAGCCCUUUUGUUGGGAAAGAAAAGCAGCAGGUUAAUACCCCGCUGUUCUGACGGUACCCAAAGAAUAAGCACCGGCUAACUUCGUG
RNAcentral lists this ribosomal RNA (493 nucleotides) under uncultured bacterium. Its description in RNAcentral is "partial 16S ribosomal RNA". It matches the Rfam family "Bacterial small subunit ribosomal RNA", at positions 29 to 507 of the family's 1533-position model. The record is from RNAcentral.